This is a long non-coding RNA of Astatotilapia calliptera (eastern happy), 1267 nucleotides long. The record is from Ensembl. NCBI's taxonomy places the organism in Eukaryota, Metazoa, Chordata, Actinopteri, Cichliformes, Cichlidae.
GGAAUGUUUUACAGCUGGAAACCAGGCUGGUUAUAGCUCUGAACUGACUGAGCUCAUGCAAACAUAGUAUCCUGCCUACCCAGUCAAAAGAUAAGAAAAAUGAUUUUGGAUUUUGUUUAGCUAGUAGAAAGAGCAGCACAGAAAACACAAAUGCCAGGUCUGAUUUCUGAUUAAGUGAAUAGCCGAGAGUAGACCGCCAAAGCCUUCCACUGGCAAAUAAUCUUGACAUAAUCAGAGAUUUGAUUCAAUUCAAUUUAUAUACUGCUAAUUCAAAUAUUGUAUGGUAAAGACCCCAACAGGCAGACAACCCCUAUAAGCAAGCACUUGGCGACAGCAGGAAGGAAAAAAAUCCCUUUUAACAGGAAGGAAGACAGGAAGGAAUGACAAGGGAGGGCAGCCAUCUGCCAUGACUGGUUGGUGGUGAGGGCAAAGAGAAACACCAAGGUCAGAAGAAGCGCACCACUGCCAUCUCUCUGAGCUCUGAAUAUUCUUGAUUAGUUUGUUAAUUGAUUAGCAAUUAGUUUAGUAGUUUAUUGUUUUUGUUUUUUUUAGAGAUCAUCUGCAGAGUCAUUUCAGAUAUGCCAGCAGCUGAACAGUGAUUCAAUAAAUCGUAGGUUAUUAGCAGUUUUUUUUCUUUUUCUUUUUUUCAUCCAAAUUACCCACAUCUCAUUUUCAACUGCCCACACAUAAGAGGCUAGAUCUGGCCCUGGCUGAAAAAGAAAUUACAAUUAUAAUAAGUGUGGGAGACAGGAUCAAAAAGAGCAACAAAAUAGUAAGUCCACAGAGAGGUACUUCAUGUUCCAUGUUUAUACAGUAUAGUAUUGAAUUUUCUAAGGAAGUAUCUAUUUGAAUGACAAUCAAACAAUCAGGAAACUGUGUUUAAGAAAGAACAUUUUGGCUCCCCUGCACCGCCUUCUGCUAAAAUUAACCUCUUCCCACAGUCUGCCAUUCCACCCAAAGAUUACAGCCAUCUGUGUCUCACAUGUUCUGUUCAAAGGCUUGCUUGAGGAGUAUAACAUGUCUGAAACGUCACGGGCAUCCUUAGCUCUUCCUGAGAUUUAGCUUUAAGGGGUCCUGAUAGUUCUCACGUGUCCUAUAAAGCGGCCUGUGGUGCGCGGGUGAACGGUGGCCUGCUGCAUCUGUAAUUUUAAGAUGUUCGGGGAAAGGUGGAUUUGGUCACUUCAUGGUGUUCAGUUCCUCUCUAUUCUAAACAGGGGAGGCGGAAACAAUUAGACAGACAUAUUUUAAAAUAGGAACAAGAUGCCAG